RNAcentral lists this ribosomal RNA (255 nucleotides) under Salmonella enterica subsp. enterica serovar Lubbock. RNAcentral describes it as "partial 23S ribosomal RNA". The stretch from base 44 to 255 matches the Rfam family "Bacterial large subunit ribosomal RNA", at positions 568 to 783 of the family's 2925-position model. Lineage: Bacteria; Pseudomonadati; Pseudomonadota; Gammaproteobacteria; Enterobacterales; Enterobacteriaceae. The record is from RNAcentral.
AGGAUACGGUUAACGGAGCGUAAGCGACGUUCAACCUCAAAAGAAGCAGAGGGGGCUUAGUGGUGGGGUGACUGCGUACCUUUUGUAUAAUGGGUCAGCGACUUAUAUUCUGUAGCAAGGUUAACCGAAUAGGGGAGCCGGAGGGAAACCGAGUCUUAAUUGGGCGUUAAGUUGCAGGGUAUAGACCCGAAACCCGGUGAUCUAGCCAUGGGCAGGUUGAAGGUUGGGUAACACUAACUGGAGGACCGAACCGAC